UCCCGGGUGGUCUAGUGUUUAGGACUCUGCGCUUUCACCCCUGGGGCCCAGGUUCAGUCCCUGGUCUGGGAA
Sus scrofa (pig) is the source of this 72-nucleotide non-coding RNA. The record is from Rfam. Lineage: Eukaryota; Metazoa; Chordata; Mammalia; Artiodactyla; Suidae.